AGGACGAACGCUGGCGGCGUGCUUAACACAUGCAAGUCGAGCGGAAAGGCCCUUCGGGGUACUCGAGCGGCGAACGGGUGAGUAACACGUGAGGAACCUGCCCUAGACUUUGGGAUAACCCUCGGAAACGGGGGCUAAUACCGAAUACGACACGGUCUCGCAUGAGAUCCGUGUGGAAAGUUUUUCGGUCUGGGAUGGUCUCGCGGCCUAUCAGCUUGUUGGUGGGGUGAUGGCCUACCAAGGCGACGACGGGUA
RNAcentral lists this ribosomal RNA (255 nucleotides) under uncultured bacterium. RNAcentral describes it as "partial small subunit ribosomal RNA". It matches the Rfam family "Bacterial small subunit ribosomal RNA", at positions 26 to 285 of the family's 1533-position model. The record is from RNAcentral.